GACGUAGGAUGCAAGCGUUGUCCGGAAUUAUUGGGCGUAAAGAGUUCGUAGGCGGUUACCCAAGUCUGGUGUUAAAUCCCGAAGCUUAACUUCGGCAUGGCAUUGGAAACUAGGUAGCUAGAGUGUGGUAGAGGUAAAGGGAAUUCCAGGUGUAGCGGUGAAAUGCGUAGAUAUCUGGAGGAACACCGGCGGCGAAAGCGCUUUACUGGGCCAUAACUGACGCUGAGGAACGAAAGCCAGGGUAGCAAAAGGG
Molecule: ribosomal RNA, 253 nt
Filed under: uncultured prokaryote
Description: partial 16S ribosomal RNA
Rfam family: Bacterial small subunit ribosomal RNA
Source: RNAcentral